RNAcentral lists this ribosomal RNA (409 nucleotides) under uncultured bacterium. Its description in RNAcentral is "bacterial SSU rRNA". It matches the Rfam family "Bacterial small subunit ribosomal RNA", at positions 355 to 776 of the family's 1533-position model. The record is from RNAcentral.
UCGAGAAUCUUCCACAAUGGACGAAAGUCUGAUGGAGCGACGCCGCGUGAUUGAUGAAGUCCCUUUGGGACGUAAAGAUCUUUUAUGAGGGAAGAAGUUUAUUGACUGUACCUCAUGAAUAAGAGGCUCCUAAUCUCGUGCCAGCAGGAGCGGUAAUACGAGAGCCUCGAGCGUUAUCCGGAAUUAUUGGGCGUAAAGGGUGCGUAGGUUGUUCUGUUAGUCUUUUGUUAAAUCCCCGAGCUUAACUUGGGAGUCGCGAAGGAAACGGCAGAACUUGAAAGUGUGAGAGGUGUACAGAACUUAUGGUGUAGGGGUGAAAUCCGUUGAUAUCAUAGGGAAUACCAAAUGCGAAGGCAGUACACUGGCACAUAUUUGACACUGAAGCACGAAAGCGUGGGUAGCGAAUGGG